Non-coding RNA from Schizosaccharomyces pombe (fission yeast), 585 nucleotides. Lineage: Eukaryota; Fungi; Ascomycota; Schizosaccharomycetes; Schizosaccharomycetales; Schizosaccharomycetaceae. The record is from the annotation of a GenBank genome assembly.
UGAGUCCACGAUAUUUUAUAACGCAUAUUGGUAUCGGCAUGACCUGUUAUAGAAAUUAGUAAAAUUAAAAGACAUAGGAAGGAAUAUGAAGUAUCAAUAAUUGCAUACCGAAAAAUUCAAGAACAAGUUUGAAUGGUUCUCGCGGACAAACCGUGGUGACUUUUUCAGAAUCAUAGCUAACCCAAGCCUGAAUCCUAAUUGGUAGAAUAGAUAGAUUAUUUGCCAUUUCGUCAGACAAAAUAUGAUUUCUCAAGUAAAUCUCUCCAUGGUGAAGAUUAUCGUCGGUUUUCCAAGAAGCUUGAACUUCUUUUAGAAAAUACUCCUUAAUCCAAAAACGCUUUUUCAUAGUAUAGCUAUCCUCGAUACUUUUUUUAAAUCCGCUAGAUAGUACGAAUUGCUUUGUAGAUAAGUUUGGAAUAUCAAGAUUGAUUUCCUCAGAGGACAUAAUAAAUCUUUUUAAACGGAAUAAUAUGACAUUAUCAGCUUUUGGUUUGAUUAAAACUGAUCGGGACUCAUCGGUACUUGCUGUUUUAACCGUGACAAAUAAAGGCUCAGAGAAAUGAUUAUAAAAGUUUAAUAGCACCA